Long non-coding RNA from Eptesicus fuscus (big brown bat), 1028 nucleotides. RefSeq lists it as uncharacterized. The record is from RefSeq and is a predicted model, not a curated record. The transcript is spliced from 3 exons. Lineage: Eukaryota; Metazoa; Chordata; Mammalia; Chiroptera; Vespertilionidae.
AUCAAGAUGGAAUUUAUAUUCUCGGACAGAUUACCAGCAGGCUAUGUGAAAGGCAGGAGUUUGACCGACUGGGAGUUAGACGUGCACUGGCCACCAGGGGGUGGUAUGGAACACGACAGGCAUUGGCGAUGUGGUGCUGGCAGUGGGUGGCAGUGGAGGCACUGCCGGCCCCCAUGGGCCCCGAGGAGAGUGGGACCGUGGCAGGAUGGUGGAGCAGGUCUCAUGUGGAUGUUCCUGGUUGGGUGGUUCCCUUGGAAGCUCUCCUCCAAGUGGUGGAAACAUCUCGUGGCACUGCCAUCCUCAACAAAUAGCCUCUAAGAUCACCAUGGGACGGAAGAAAAAGAAGUUUGUAUCUAUGUCACAUGCUAAUAUAUGUUCACAUCAUUUUAGCCCAUAUUACAUUGGUCAAGACUAAUCAUAUGGUCACAGCCAUAUGCAAGAGGUUAGGGAAAUGUAGUUUCCUGGAUCCCAGGUAGAAAAUGAAGCAGUUCAAUAAAGUUAUGGCAUUUCUAUGCCAUUGGCCACCCUCCAGUGACCAAAUUGCUUUAUAUUUCUCCCCACAUAAUACAAUUUGCUCACCCUCUUCCCAAGAGAGAGAACUCAGUCACCUAUCCAGCUGUAGUAGGCAACUCAGAGCCCAGGAUCUCUGCAUGGUUCAGGCCUCCCCCUGAGAACAGCAGCAGUUCUUUUUGGUCUGACCUUCUGUGAUCUGAGAGAUAAGAUCUGCCACCCCACUUUCCUGAUCUCCAAAAUACAGCGGUGGACCAGGACAGGAGAACCUCUGAUAGAACCGCAUGGAACUCUUCCAUUUGGAGAAUUAUUCUAUUAAUUCUGGGAAGAAAGUCACAUAUGGGGACCUUUGUACAUGGGGACCCACUGUCUGGGAAAAGGAGGAAGGAAUGUUUUCUUAAAGGUUACGGAGUAGCUUCUUGUGGAGAAUGUCUGACUUUUGCAGGGUGUUCUACAUCGUCUUUCAAUCUCUAAUAACUACAAUAUAACGUCUUCUGAUAAUUUCACCCUACCUUAUA